AGAUGCAGAUGCAGAUGUGUCCAUAGUGUCGUUAUAGGUUGGAAACGACUCGACAGCGUAAGACAAGAAAAAGGAUACCUUCUUACUGGACCACUCACAACACAAUCCUGCACAUCACCUUAACCAGGCACUUCCGAAAAACCUCACCCUUAAGGAGCAUUUCAUCAAAGAUUCCCCUCCACCAUGAGACACAUCACAUGACGGGGUGACUGCAUCUCUUUGGAUUUCAAGGCUUGUCCAUUCGUCAUUUUUUGGUCGUCAGGAAUAGCAUCAGUGACAUGGAUAGAUCUAGUGUAUUGAAUUUGGAAGAGUAUGAAGGAAAGGCUGUUUGGUUAAGGUUGGACAUUCCUUUCCCUCAAGAUUUAUUCAUUGCCCUAGCCCUCAGGCAGGAAUAUUGCAAGUUUCUGGAUGCAUUCUACACAAUUCUAAAACUGU
This is a long non-coding RNA of Ornithorhynchus anatinus (platypus), 435 nucleotides long. RefSeq lists it as uncharacterized. NCBI's taxonomy places the organism in Eukaryota, Metazoa, Chordata, Mammalia, Monotremata, Ornithorhynchidae. The record is from RefSeq and is a predicted model, not a curated record. The transcript has 3 exons.